RNAcentral lists this ribosomal RNA (600 nucleotides) under Klebsiella variicola. RNAcentral describes it as "bacterial SSU rRNA". It matches the Rfam family "Bacterial small subunit ribosomal RNA", at positions 113 to 709 of the family's 1533-position model. Lineage: Bacteria; Pseudomonadati; Pseudomonadota; Gammaproteobacteria; Enterobacterales; Enterobacteriaceae. The record is from RNAcentral.
AUGUCUGGGAAACUGCCUGAUGGAGGGGGAUAACUACUGGAAACGGUAGCUAAUACCGCAUAACGUCGCAAGACCAAAGAGGGGGACCUUCGGGCCUCUUGCCAUCGGAUGUGCCCAGAUGGGAUUAGCUUGUUGGUGAGGUAAAGGCUCACCAAGGCGACGAUCCCUAGCUGGUCUGAGAGGAUGACCAGCCACACUGGAACUGAGACACGGUCCAGACUCCUACGGGAGGCAGCAGUGGGGAAUAUUGCACAAUGGGCGCAAGCCUGAUGCAGCCAUGCCGCGUGUGUGAAGAAGGCCUUCGGGUUGUAAAGCACUUUCAGCGGGGAGGAAGGCGGUGAGUUUAAUAAGCUCACCGAUUGACGUUACCCCCAGAAGAAGCACCGGCUAACUCCGUGCCAUCAGCCGCGGUAAUACGGAGGGUGCGAGCGUUAAUCGGAAUUACUGGGCGUAAAGCGCACGCACGCGGGCUGGCCCGCCGGAUGUGAAAUCCCCGGUCUCAACCUGGGAACUGCCUUCGAAAGUGGCAGGCUAGAGUCUUGUACAGGGGGGUACAAUUCCAGGGGUAACGGUCAAAUGCGUAAACAUCUUGAGGAAUAG